Molecule: ribosomal RNA, 491 nt
Filed under: uncultured bacterium
Lineage: Bacteria
Description: partial 16S ribosomal RNA
Rfam family: Bacterial small subunit ribosomal RNA
Source: RNAcentral
AUGAACGCUAGCUACAGGCUUAACCCAUGCAAGUCGCGGGGAAACGACAUCGAAAGCUUGCUUUUGAUGGGCGUCGACCGGCGCACGGGUGAGUAACGCGUAUCCAACCUGCCCAUCACUUGGGAAUAACCUUGCGAAAGUAAGACUAAUACCCAAUGACAUCCCACGAAGACAUCUGAAUGGGAUUAAAGAUUUAUCGGUGAUGGAUGGGGAUGCGUCUGAUUAGCUUGUUGGCGGGGUAACGGCCCACCAAGGCAACGAUCAGUAGGGGUUCUGAGAGGAAGGUCCCCCACAUUGGAACUGAGACACGGUCCAAACUCCUACGGGAGGCAGCAGUGAGGAAUAUUGGUCAAUGGGCGAGAGCCUGAACCAGCCAAGUAGCGUGCAGGAUGACGGCCCUAUGGGUUGUAAACUGCUUUUAUAAGGGAAUAAAGUGGGUCUCGUGAGACUUUUUGCAUGUACCUUAUGAAUAAGGACCGGCUAAUUCCGUG